This 411-nucleotide ribosomal RNA is filed under the name uncultured bacterium. Its description in RNAcentral is "bacterial SSU rRNA". It matches the Rfam family "Bacterial small subunit ribosomal RNA", at positions 18 to 457 of the family's 1533-position model. The record is from RNAcentral.
UCCGGCUCAGAGAAAGAGCGGGGGGCGCGCGUAACACACACAAAUCUAGCGCGCCCCUCAAGGGGAGUGGCAGACGGGUGAGUAACGCGUGGGAAUCUACCCUUNGGUACGGAAUAACUCAGGGAAACUUGUGCUAAUACCGUAUAAGCCCUUCGGGGGAAAGAUUUAUCGCCCAAGGAUGAGCCCGCGUNGGAUUAGCUAGUUGGUGGGGUAAAGGCCCACCAAGGCGACGAUCCUUAGCUGGUCUGAGAGGAUGAUCAGCCACACUGGGACUGAGACACGGCCCAGACUCCUACGGGAGGCAGCAGUGGGGAAUAUUGGACAAUGGGCGCAAGCCUGAUCCAGCCAUGCCGCGUGAGUGAUGAAGGCCUUAGGGUUGUAAAGCUCUUCACCGGGAAGAUAAUGACGUAC